GACGAACGCUGGCGGCGUGCUUAACACAUGCAAGUCGAACGAUGAACCCGGAGCUUGCUCCGGCGGAUUAGUGGCGAACGGGUGAGUAACACGUGAGUAACCUGCCCUUGACUCUGGGAUAACUGCGGGAAACUGUAGCUAAUACCGGAUACGACCCUCGGCGGCAUCGCCAGGGGGUGGAAAGAAUUUCGGUCAAGGAUGGACUCGCGGCCUAUCAGCUAGUUGGUGAGGUAACGGCGCACCAAGGCGACGACGGGUAGCCGGCCUGGGAGGGUGACCGGCCACGCUGGGACUGAGACACGGCCCAGACUCCUACGGGAGGCAGCAGUGGGGAAUAUUGCACAAUGGGCGCAAGCCUGAUGCAGCAACGCCGCGUGAGGGAUGACGGCCUUCGGGUUGUAAACCUCUUUUAGUAGGGAAGAAGCGAAAGUGACGGUACCUGCAGAAAAAGCACCGGCUAACUACGUGCCAGCCGCCGCCGUAA
Molecule: ribosomal RNA, 484 nt
Filed under: uncultured bacterium
Lineage: Bacteria
Description: partial 16S ribosomal RNA
Rfam family: Bacterial small subunit ribosomal RNA
Source: RNAcentral